RNAcentral lists this transfer RNA (96 nucleotides) under Andreaea wilsonii. RNAcentral's name for it is "partial tRNA-Leu". The stretch from base 1 to 62 matches the Rfam family "tRNA", at positions 22 to 71 of the family's 71-position model. Rfam says of the family: Transfer RNA (tRNA) molecules are approximately 80 nucleotides in length. Their secondary structure includes four short double-helical elements and three loops (D, anti-codon, and T loops). Lineage: Eukaryota; Viridiplantae; Streptophyta; Andreaeopsida; Andreaeales; Andreaeaceae. The record is from RNAcentral.
CGCUACGGACUUAAAAUCCGUUGGCUUUAUUGACCGUGAGGGUUCAAGUCCCUCUACCCCCAAAAAUUAUCUCCAUUAAAAUUUUAUUAUUCAAUA